This 74-nucleotide transfer RNA is filed under the name Gossypium harknessii. RNAcentral's name for it is "tRNA-Asp". Lineage: Eukaryota; Viridiplantae; Streptophyta; Magnoliopsida; Malvales; Malvaceae. The record is from RNAcentral.
UCCUUCCUUGGCUGUUAUUUGCAUAUAACUAGCUAAUGCUGCUGGGAAUGCCCUUGGUGGAUUCGCACUUCUCU